This 253-nucleotide ribosomal RNA is filed under the name uncultured bacterium. RNAcentral's name for it is "partial 16S ribosomal RNA". It matches the Rfam family "Bacterial small subunit ribosomal RNA", at positions 524 to 776 of the family's 1533-position model. The record is from RNAcentral.
UACGUAGGGGGCUAGCGUUGUCCGGAAUCAUUGGGCGUAAAGCGCGUGUAGGCGGCCCGGUAAGUCCGCUGUGAAAGUCGAGGGCUCAACCCUCGAAUGCCGGUGGAUACUGUCGGGCUAGAGUACGGAAGAGGCGAGUGGAAUUCCUGGUGUAGCGGUGAAAUGCGCAGAUAUCAGGAGGAACACCCAUUGCGAAGGCAGCUCGCUGGGACGUUACUGACGCUGAGACGCGAAAGCGUGGGGAGCAAACGGG